Molecule: long non-coding RNA, 2475 nt
Filed under: Olea europaea subsp. europaea
Lineage: Eukaryota; Viridiplantae; Streptophyta; Magnoliopsida; Lamiales; Oleaceae
Source: RNAcentral
AACGAAUCAAAUCCCUAAAUUGCUAAUAAUUUUAGAAUCACAACUAAUCAAUUUCUAUAGCCGAAACAACGUAAAUAUGCCCAUCAAUGAUGAAUUCCACUAAACUUCAAUUCACUUCGACCAUAAACCCGAACCCAUGGCCUCUGCAAAUCUAUCAGCUUGCAGCAUUCUAUGGCUUCUCUUCGUAUCACAUUCAUUCUCGCCAUCCGUUAGCUUCACCGAUGAACUCUCCUUAGGUAAGCUUCUUUGACAUCUUUUUUUAGAAUUGGGUUUAAGGAUAAAAAGAAGACAUUUUUUACUUGGGGAGCUCUCAGUUAUUGGAUAAAUACUUUGGCUAGUAAUUUGAUUGACGAAAUUUGAAUUGUGUCAUGGGUGUGGUUUAGGUUUAAAUUUGUAGGGUUUUGGUUUCCUAUAGUAAAAUUAUUGCUAAUUACUUAUUUGUAGGUACUACUUUUAGAAAAUUUAACUUUUAAUUACUUUUAAGCAUGGGCAAACAUUCUAAAGUUAGGCAAAGAGAUCCAAUGGACAGGGGAAAAAAAGUUAUAUCCAUAUGGUAUGUUUGAUAAGGUGGAUGGAUAUUGGAUAGUAAUAGGCAGUAUGGAAAGGAAGUUAGAAUCUUGUUUAGUGUACUGUUAAAAAUUCCGUUCAGAUUUGCAUGCCAAACAUGUCCAUCCUUUAUAUGAAUGUAUAGAACUUACGAACAGUAUUAUUCUGUUAAUUGCGGUUUAUUUGCUGUUGUAUGGAAGUGAGGUUGGUUUUGGGCAUUUGAAAAUCACGCCAUGGUCCUAUGCCUGUUUGCUUUUCUCUUGAAAUAUUUUCUCUCUUGUGGAAUAUGAUCCAUGGCCUGCACUAAAUGACUCUCGGAGCUAUGCAAUUCAUAUUGAUACAUACAAAAAAUUAUCCUCUUAUUACAAUGGGAUCUGUCGAAUGAUUAUCAUCUUAUUGAGCUGGAGACAUGGUAUUAGGGAUAUAUAUUACAUACAUAAAGCCAGAUAUUUUGAGUUGGGGGAUCCCCAAAUUAACAUGCAAAAGAACUUUGAAACAAAAUAACAGUGAUGGAAUUUUCGAUACCUUAUUUCAAGCAUUCGCUACGAAUACUUUGAUAUCAUUUGUACUGUUACAUCAUUUGUAAUACUAGAAGGAGGAGACUUAUUUAAUCAUUACCAAUAUUUCUCCAUCAUUGUUUACCAUUUAGGGCUUGUUUCAGCCACAUUUCUUUUGUGAAUGUAUUUUGGAAUGGUAGAUUGAUGGAGAAAAUGUGGUUAAAGAAAAAAAAAGUUUUGGGUUUACGUAUAAUAUUAUUUUAUUGAAGAAUGUGUGGUUAAAAAGAAAAGAGAGAAAAAUGUAUUUUGAAAAUAAUAUGAAUUAAACAAUCACUUAAUUUAACAAUCGACAUACAAAAAAUAAUAAACAAGGCUGACAAGACCACAAUCAUAUAAGCAGAAAAGGCCUCAAUCAUUUCUAGCAAUUCAAUAAAUAAGCAAGGGCAAGCCAUUGGUCACCUGAGAAAUGAGCCAAAAUUCUGAAAUGACACAACAUUACAACUCAAGAACUCUCGAUAGACAUUCACAACUUUGCGAUCCUGCAUUCAUUAACUAAGCAGCUAAAACUUUCACAUACAUACAAAAAAGAAUUUCUAGUCUGUACCAGUGGCAGUAAAAGUCUGGGAAAAUAAUAGUACAAAACUUCCAUUAUACUAUACAUACAUUAUAAGGAAAAUGCAAAAUGAAAAGCAGAAUCAAUAAAAGAAAAUAAAUGUGUUGUAUCCAUAUGUAAAAACUCUAAACUGCAGCGAAAGGUGGUUAAUAAUUAUACCUAAGCAGCAAAAUUCAGUAAUGGCAGAAAAAUUUUCUGAGCUGUGGUGGUCAGGUAAAGUCACAGUUGGGUUUUAUUGCAAUUGAGGAUUUUGAUUGUGAAAUUUAGGGUUUGGGUUGAAAAAUUUUGGGGAAAUUUCGGCAUGGGAGGGGGUAGAGACGAUGAGCUAGAGAGAAAUAUGAUGAAAACAGGAAGGUUAUAUACUUGGAUUGAGAGUGCUGUUUGAGCCAAGUGAUUUGGACACGAUGUGGGAGAGAAUUGGUUUUAUUACUAAAAUUAAAUAACAGUAGAAUAAAAAAUAAAAAAAAAACAAAUUGCAGAAAGUUUGGGGGAAUCCCCUUCAUUCAGCCCGUCCAUAUAUUGUGUCAAAAAAGCUUGUAUAUUUAUUUAUAUAUAACGUUAUAUUUAUGGAGUUUCUAUAUAUGCAUGCACAUCAGUGUAUGUGCGUGUCCGCCAAUGCUUGUAUAUUAGUCUGUCUCUAAGCUUAUGUUUUUAGUUCUGCAGUUAUUUUCGGUCUGCCUCAUAGCAGCUAUCACCAAGCUUGACGGUGGAGAAAUCCCCAGAGUCCAAUGCAGGAACUAAUGUGAAAUGAAAGAGAGCUCAUAUUUAAGGCUUUCGCAGGCUUAAACAUUUGAGCAUGUUUGCCAUUUCUGUGAAGGU